AGCGAACGCUGGCGGCAGGCCUAAUACAUGCAAGUCGAACGAAGUCUUCGGACUUAGUGGCGGACGGGUGAGUAACACGUGGGAACGUGCCUUUAGGUUCGGACUAACUUAAGGAAACUUGUGCUAAUACAGAAUGUGCCCUUCGGGGGAAAGAUUUAUCGCCUUUAGAGCGGCCCGCUUCUGAUUAGCUAGUUGGUGAGGUAAAGGCUCACCAAGGCGACGAUCAGUAGCUGGUCUGAGAGGAUGAUCAGCCACAUUGGGACUGAGACACGGCCCAAACUCCUACGCGAGGCAGCAGUGGGGAAUCUUGCGCAAUGGGCGAAAGCCUGACGCAGCCAGGCCGCGUGAAUGAUGAAGGUCUUAGGAUUGUAAAAUUCUUUCACCGGGGACGAUAAUGACGGUACCCGGAGAAGAAGCCCCGGCUAACUUCGUGCCAGCAGCCGCAGUAA
This 449-nucleotide ribosomal RNA is filed under the name uncultured bacterium. Its description in RNAcentral is "partial 16S ribosomal RNA". It matches the Rfam family "Bacterial small subunit ribosomal RNA", at positions 29 to 523 of the family's 1533-position model. The record is from RNAcentral.